Molecule: ribosomal RNA, 433 nt
Filed under: uncultured bacterium
Lineage: Bacteria
Description: partial 16S ribosomal RNA
Rfam family: Bacterial small subunit ribosomal RNA
Source: RNAcentral
AACGAACGCUGGCGGCAUGCCUAACACAUGCAAGUCGAACGAGACCUUCGGGUCUAGUGGCUCACGGGUGCGUAACGCGUGGGAACCUGCCCUUAGGUUCGGAAUAACUCCCCGAAAGGGGUGCUAAUACCGGAUAAUGUCUUCGGACCAAAGAUUUAUCGCCUUUGGAUGGGCCCGCGUUGGAUUAGCUAGUUGGUAGGGUAAAAGCCUACCAAGGCGACGAUCCAUAGCUGGUUUGAGAGGAUGAUCAGCCACACUGGGACUGAGACACGGCCCAGACUCCUACGGGAGGCAGCAGUGGGGAAUAUUGGACAAUGGGCGAAAGCCUGAUCCAGCAAUGCCGGGUGAGUGAUGAAGGCCUUAGGGUUGUAAAGCGCUUUUACCCGGGAUGAUAAUGACAGUACCGGGAGAAUAAGCUCCGGCUAACUCCGUG